GCCGACGUGGUGAAACUGGCAGACACGCUACCUUGAGGUGGUAGUGGGGAAACCCUUGGGAGUUCGAGUCUCCCCGUCGGCA
RNAcentral lists this transfer RNA (82 nucleotides) under Deltaproteobacteria bacterium. Its description in RNAcentral is "tRNA-Leu". It matches the Rfam family "tRNA". From Rfam's summary of the family: Transfer RNA (tRNA) molecules are approximately 80 nucleotides in length. Lineage: Bacteria; Pseudomonadati; Myxococcota; Myxococcia. The record is from RNAcentral.